RNAcentral lists this unclassified non-coding RNA (346 nucleotides) under soil metagenome. RNAcentral's name for it is "partial contains 5.8S ribosomal RNA, internal transcribed spacer 2, and large subunit ribosomal RNA". The stretch from base 1 to 120 matches the Rfam family "5.8S ribosomal RNA", at positions 35 to 154 of the family's 154-position model. The record is from RNAcentral.
GAUGAAGAACGCAGCGAAAUGCGAUAACUAAUGUGAAUUGCAGAAUUCCGUGAAUCAUCGAGUCUUUGAACGCACAUUGCGCCCCCUGGUAUUCCGGGGGGCAUGCCUGUCCGAGCGUCAUUGCUGCCCAUCAAGCACGGCUUGUGUGUUGGGUCCCGUCCCCCUCUCCCGGGGGACGGACCCGAAAGGCAGCGGCGGCACCGCGUCCGGUCCUCGAGCGUAUGGGGCUUUGUCACCCGCUCUUGUAGGCCCGGCCGGCGCUUGCCGACACCCAACCAUUUUUUUCAGGUUGACCUCGGAUCAGGUAGGGAUACCCGCUGAACUUAAGCAUAUCAAAAGCGGAGGA